This 253-nucleotide ribosomal RNA is filed under the name uncultured bacterium. RNAcentral describes it as "partial 16S ribosomal RNA". It matches the Rfam family "Bacterial small subunit ribosomal RNA", at positions 524 to 776 of the family's 1533-position model. The record is from RNAcentral.
UACAGAGGGUGCAAGCGUUAAUCGGAAUUACUGGGCGUAAAGGGCGUGUAGGCGGCAAAGUAAGUUGGGUGUGAAAGCCCCAGGCUUAACCUGGGAACUGCAUCCAAAACUGCUUAGCUAGAGUAGAGUAGAGGGAAGUGGAAUUUCCGGUGUAGCGGUGAAAUGCGUAGAUAUCGGAAGGAACACCAGUGGCGAAGGCGGCUUCCUGGACUCAUACUGACGCUGAGGCGCGAAAGCGUGGGGAGCAAACAGG